This is a long non-coding RNA of Globicephala melas (long-finned pilot whale), 2091 nucleotides long. RefSeq lists it as uncharacterized. The record is from RefSeq and is a predicted model, not a curated record. Lineage: Eukaryota; Metazoa; Chordata; Mammalia; Artiodactyla; Delphinidae.
CGGGAGCCUGUGAGCCUCUCGCCGCACCGGAAGUCAGCCCCCGGGACCGAGCCUCUGACUCCCAACCAACCCCCAAGGCCAAGGGACAGGAGAGGAGCCGGAGGCUGGCCCUCAGAUCCAGGGUCCUGGGGGAGCACCAGUGUCAGUGGGCCUGGUUGUACAAAUGAGUGGUGUCUCCUCUCUCCGUCCUGGUGUCUUGUUAAGGAGGGAAUAGAGACGAUGCUGAAUAGUGGUGGUACUUUCCCAGCUCCAGCAUCAGCUCUUUUUCUCCCAGGCAGUUAACUGUCUCACAGCAGACAGGAUCCAGGUGACACUGCUGUCCCUGCAUUCAGCCACACUCAACCCCCACCAUUCAUCCAUCCGUCUAAUGUCUGUUCAGGUUCUUCUUAGUGCCAAGCACGGUCCAGGCACUGGCUCUUAGCAAGGAACAGAGAAGGGUCCUUGCCUUUGGGGAGCCCCGGUUAAUGGAGAAGCCAAAGGAAGAGGUCCAUGCGUCUAGCACAGAGCGAAGGGGCUCGGUCAGGGCGAGUCCAGAUCUGAGACCCUCAGUUCCUCUGAGAGACCCAGCGACCUGCUCACCAGGCUUCAGGCAGCCUCCUUCUCUGCCACCAUCUAGCUGGGUGACCCGGGGCCAGUUUCUCCGUGCCCAUCAGUCAUCUCAAUCCACCAGAGGAGAUGGUCCUCGGGGGUCCCACCUGCCUCCCAGGAUGGUGGCGAGACUCAGGUCUGUACUUCACGGAAUGAGGCCUGUGUUGGCGAGCCUGCUGUUCCCCGGGCUGGACCGUGAUCAGGUUAAGAGGAAGUUUCCCUCCCUGGUCCUCUGCUGCCAGCUGCUUUCCUCCUAAGCCAUUCACCUGUGCCAACUUUUCUUUUUCCUACACUCGCUUCAAAACUUACCAGUCCCACAGGCAUCCUGGUAAGACUCUGCUCAUUAUUUUCCCAAGUGGCAAUUGUCUUACCCUGGUCCCGGAUACUGAUGUCUUCCUAAGAUCUGACCCUGGACUUUCCAAGGAGCCCAUGGCCACUGCAGGACUCCAGGAGGAGGAGUGUCAAGCAAUGUGGAAAAGGAGGGAGGUUCUGGGCCAGGUGGGCAGGUGAGAUGGGGUGGGAAGGGCUCCCCAAGCCACUCUCGGAGGGCAGCCUCAUCCUCUGCCUUUUCCCAUGGGAGCCUCUGAGCCAGCAUCCUGGAGACCUCGGGACACUCAGCCUCAGCCAGCACUGACAGACCUGUCCCCGUGGUGCAUGGCACAGGGGUUCAUUUAGAUGACAAGGACCCCUGACCUCCUUCCACUAGUGACGAUGACCAGGCAGGAGAGCUGGCAAAUGCCAGGGAGCCAAAAGACACAAAGAGAAGUGGCCCUUAUGGUGCUAAGAAGGGUGAAGCUUGGUUUCCCCAUCACCCCUUCAUCUCAGGUGUGUCGAGAGAAUCUGCUCACCCCUACUUCACAAUCCCAAUCCCUCUACAAAGAGGAGAGGGAAAGAACUCAACUCCAUCUACAGAGGGGGAGACAGAGGUCCUGAAAGUCACCUAGAGACUCAGCAUCGGCCUUCUCCUUCCCUCCCACCCACCUCCCACAGGGUCAUCAUCUCUACCACCACCACCCUCAUCACCAUUUACUAGAUGGAGAAACUGAGGAUCAUAGAAAUUACUAACUUAUCCAGAAUCACACAUCUCCUUUGAGGAGGGAGAGAAGAUGUGAAGCCCAGGCUGUCACUCUCUGCAAAACUGCACGAGCCGUCAAGAGAGAGAAGCACGAGGGAGGAAAGCUGGUGGGGUGCUCUCUCCUCCAUAAUGUGCCACGGAGCCCAGAACAAGGUCUGCUGCCGGUGGAUGCGGCCGUGCUGCCUGGAGCGAGUGCGCGCGCAGAGAGCGGAGAGCCGGCAGGAAAAACGCUGCAGAACCAGCUGCAGAAGCAGAAGCCUGCAGAGCUUCUUUCCUGGGCCUUUUCCUCCAGGCCAGCCUGUUCCACUGGAAAAACAACCUCCCCUGCCUGGGGACUUGGGGCCGGCUGGGCCACCUUCUGGUCUGUCUUCAUUCAGAUCCCAUUUCUCCCCUCCCCGGGAGGUGGGGGAGGGAGUCACACUGGGGAG